This 74-nucleotide transfer RNA is filed under the name Caudoviricetes sp. RNAcentral describes it as "tRNA-Arg". It matches the Rfam family "tRNA". Rfam says of the family: Transfer RNA (tRNA) molecules are approximately 80 nucleotides in length. Their secondary structure includes four short double-helical elements and three loops (D, anti-codon, and T loops). The record is from RNAcentral. Lineage: Duplodnaviria; Heunggongvirae; Uroviricota; Caudoviricetes.
GGUUCUAUAGUUUAAUUGGAAAAAUUUUAGAAUACGAAUCUAAAGAUGAGAGUUCGAAUCUUUCUAGAACCUCA